AGAAAGGAAACAAAAAAAAAGGAAAAAAAAAUAGUGACGAAAACCAAAUAUUUGUUAAGAAUUAUUUUUCUUAAGGCGGAUUUCCCUAAGUCAUGAAUAGAUUUACUAGUUAAUCAGGCGGUUUAUGUGAGAGAAUGUGUUUACACGUAUACGCAAACAACCACAACGCAUAUACGUAUAUGUUUAUAUGUGUAAUUAAAUUACUUGCAUUUAGAUGUUCUCAGAUAAAUUCAUUUUUAGUCUUUAGAAAAUGCUCUAUUUAAAUAAAAGAUGCCCGCCUUUCCCUUCCUAUCUCUCUUUCUCUUUCUCUUGUGUUUUAAUUAAUUCCGUGAAAAAUUUAUGAGAUUAUUGCAUCUGUCAGAAGAUGACGAUACAAUAAAUCUGUUAUAUCGUUAGUAACAUUCGGACCGUGUAAAUCUUUUCAUAUUAUUUCAGAUUAUUAAAGAUAGUUGUCUCUCUAUCCGCAUAUUGUUCAAGAAAAAGACGCGUUAAUAGAGUAGGGCAAACAUUCGAAGCAAUUGCGCUCGAUACUUGCUCUGUUUAGUUUUGAGAAGAGAGACAUGAAGAGUUUGCCAUAAAGUCUAUAUAGUAACUGAAAAAUUGAAGCCAUCUUAAGGAAGUCCUUAAAUGUUUCCAAUAUUUACGAAUAGCCCAAUUCCCUGAUAAUCUGUGUACCUAGAGAUAUCGAUUAAAAAUUUUUGCUUUGAUUUAUUGCCAUCUCCCGGCAAUAAGGAUUAAAUUAACUACAGUUGCUUUUUUCGCCCUUGAAACAAGUAAAAACAUUAUAGAUGGCUGCGGUCACCCAACAUUAAAUAUCUUACAUGGCAUCACUUAAUACAGUUACAUAGUAUAAACUGAAAAUAGAUAGCUUUUGGGCGGUAGCCGAAAAAUUGGACCGAUCCGGUCAUCGUUGGGCUAAAAGUUAAGUCUAGUAACAAAUUUCAAGACUGUGGGUUCUACGCAGACAUGCAAGACGGACAGACAAGUUUAAAUCAAUUCUGAAAGUGAAUCUAAAUCGAUAGGUACAACAGAAGUCAAUAUACCCUUAUGCCACAAGUGGUGUAGGGUGUAAAAAAGAAAAAUAAAUAAAAAAGCAAAUAAAGUUGCUGACAACCACCAUCGUAAUAAGGAGGUUACUGGUAAACAUUUCUUUGUUUAUAACUGAAGUAAAAAAAAAAAAAUUAUCACUUAGUAAACAUUGGGCAAUGAAUGCAUGUUUAGAUAACAAGAUACAUUUCUCGGUAGCUGACACCGGCGUAGUCGUUUGCUGUUGUUGAAGUGUGAUAAACCUGUCAACAUAUUUAAAUCUCCUCGAAAAUGAAUUUUUCUACAGACAACAUAAGCUAAUGAAAAAUAAAAAUAUUUUACCCCAUACUAAGAUGAACGAAGAUUUCAAGUUUUAAGAUAUCAUCAUCAUUAUCAUUUAAAGGCUUCUAU
Molecule: long non-coding RNA, 1437 nt
Organism: Glossina fuscipes
Lineage: Eukaryota; Metazoa; Arthropoda; Insecta; Diptera; Glossinidae
Exons: 2
Source: RefSeq, a predicted model, not a curated record